GAUGAAGAACGCAGCGAAAUGCGAUAAGUAAUGUGAAUUGCAGAAUUCAGUGAAUCAUCGAGUCUUUGAACGCACAUUGUGCCCCCUGUUAUUCCGGGGGGCAUGCCUGUCCGAGCGUCAUUGCUGCCCUCAAGCACGGCUUGUGUGUUGGGCCGUCGUCCCCCUCCUAGGGGACGGGCCCGAAAGGCAGCGGCGGCACCGCGUCCGGUCCUCGAGCGUAUGGGGCUUCGUCACCCGCUCCGUAGGCCCGGCCGGCGCUUGCCGACGACCAUCAAUCUCUUUCUCCAGGUUGACCUCGGAUCAGGUAGGGAUACCCGCUGAACUUAAGCAUAUCAAUAAGCGGAGGA
RNAcentral lists this unclassified non-coding RNA (347 nucleotides) under soil metagenome. RNAcentral describes it as "partial contains 5.8S ribosomal RNA, internal transcribed spacer 2, and large subunit ribosomal RNA". The stretch from base 1 to 120 matches the Rfam family "5.8S ribosomal RNA", at positions 35 to 154 of the family's 154-position model. The record is from RNAcentral.